CGUGCAGGCGGUUUUCUAAGUCGGACGUGAAAGCUCCUGGCCCAACUGGGAGAGGCCGUUCGAAACUAGGAGACUUGAGGAUGGUAGAGGCGAGUGGAAUUCCCGGUGUAGUGGUGAAAUGCGUAGAUAUCGGGAGGAACGCCAGUGGCGAAGGCGGCUCGCUGGGCCAUUCCUGACGCUGAGACGCGAAAGCUAGGGGAGAGAAC
RNAcentral lists this ribosomal RNA (206 nucleotides) under uncultured bacterium. RNAcentral describes it as "partial 16S ribosomal RNA". It matches the Rfam family "Bacterial small subunit ribosomal RNA", at positions 568 to 773 of the family's 1533-position model. The record is from RNAcentral.